This 753-nucleotide unclassified non-coding RNA is filed under the name Hevea brasiliensis (rubber tree). Lineage: Eukaryota; Viridiplantae; Streptophyta; Magnoliopsida; Malpighiales; Euphorbiaceae. The record is from RNAcentral.
UUCUAUAAAGAGACCAAAAGAGGUAGUUAUAUGCAUUUGAAAAUUUCCUUCUAACGUUUUCAAUUUCCAUUUGUUUCUUUUCUGUCUUUCUUUCACUACUUUGCUUUGUUCUUCUUCAUUAUCUAAAUAUGAGAAAUAGUAGAGUUCUUGGCAGAUGAAAAGAUACAAUUUAUGGGAAUGCAAUGACCAGUUACAAGCAUCAAAAAGUGGAAAGGGAAAAGAUUAUUCAUUUUUUGAAAUUUGUUUGAAGCAGAUUACAUGUGGAAUACGUAACUCAGCUGCAAACAUAUAUUUGAUUAAAUAUUAAGGUGGGAUUUCAGGAGUCUGAAUAGCAGCAUGACUAAAAAAAGUUGCACUUUGAAGAAGGAUAUAAAUAAGGGAGAAAGGAGAAAUUCAAAUGUGAAAUCCUGUGUUUGGCCUUCAAUGAGCUUGCUUCUUGUGUAAUCCAAAGUUAAAAAAUAUGAAGCUUCAGUGCACAUCACAAUAGCUACAAUCAAUGUGGUCAUUUAUACAAUAUAAAGGAGACAAAUGUUAAUUGAAAUAAUCAUGUCAACUGUUGUUUAACUGCUGGAAACGGGAUAGUCAUGCUUAUGAUUCUGACGUGAUGGUGUUGUCAAACUACUUCUCUUACUGCAGUUCCAAGAAUUUAUUUUAUAUCAUUGAAGUAUAUACUUUUGGUUGACAUGUUCAGGUUCAAACUAUUUCUUUAAUUUUUGUUGACAUGUUCAGGUUCAAACUAUUUCUUUAAUUUUU